Molecule: long non-coding RNA, 398 nt
Filed under: Monodelphis domestica (gray short-tailed opossum)
Lineage: Eukaryota; Metazoa; Chordata; Mammalia; Didelphimorphia; Didelphidae
Description: lncRNA (ENSMODG00000035691.2)
Source: RNAcentral
GAGGGAAGGAGAAUUUUCAGGCUAGAUAACGAAACAUAAUGGAAUGGUCCAUAAAGUCCCUCGCCUGGGAGCCGGGAGGGGACAGGCCCCCCGGAGCAGGGCUUUGGGGAAAACAGUCCCGCCCUGAGCUAAUUCCCCUGAUUAAAACUGCAUUAGUUUGGAGGUGUCAGGGACACGCAGCUGUUUUCAAGGAAACUCUGGCUCCAAGAGGUCCUCCCAUGCAGGGCGGCCAGUCCGCGCUAUCUGGAGAGGUUUUAAUGGAAUUUUCACAGUCAUUCUUCUGUGGAGAGCCCUAUAUUACCAACAUCUGAAGUCAUCUGAGACCACCUGUUGUACACACAGGAAGAAGAAUAGAAACAAAGAAUAAAAUGGAAGAACUCAUUUGCUAUUGGUUGUGU